RNAcentral lists this ribosomal RNA (520 nucleotides) under uncultured bacterium. RNAcentral's name for it is "partial 16S ribosomal RNA". It matches the Rfam family "Bacterial small subunit ribosomal RNA", at positions 355 to 867 of the family's 1533-position model. The record is from RNAcentral.
UGGGGAAUUUUGGACAAUGGGCGCAAGCCUGAUCCAGCAAUGCCGCGUGCAGGAAGAAGGCCUUCGGGUUGUAAACUGCUUUUGUCAGGGAAGAAAUCUUCUAGGCUAAUACCCCGGGAGGAUGACGGUACCUGAAGAAUAAGCACCGGCUAACUACGUGCCAGCAGCCGCGGUAAUACGUAGGGUGCGAGCGUUAAUCGGAAUUACUGGGCGUAAAGCGUGCGCAGGCGGUUAUGUAAGACAGAUGUGAAAUCCCCGGGCUCAACCUGGGAACUGCAUUUGUGACUGCAUGACUGGAGUGCGGCAGAGGGGGAUGGAAUUCCGCGUGUAGCAGUGAAAUGCGUAGAUAUGCGGAGGAACACCGAUGGCGAAGGCAAUCCCCUGGGCCUGCACUGACGCUCAUGCACGAAAAGCGUGGGGAGCAAACAGGAUUAGAUACCCUGGUAGUCCACGCCCUAAACGAUGUCAACUGGUUGUUGGACGGCUUGCUGUUCAGUAACGAAGCUAACGCGUGAAGUUG